AUUGUGGACUUUUACCUGCUUUAUAGCUUUUGAAUUAAUAGUGCUUUGGACAAAAGCUACCACAAGCCUGCUCACAGCCAUUGGACAGAAUUUCUCUCUAGUAGAGCCUUCACAUUUCCACACAGCGAAAUUCUUUAAGGGCCAAGGAGGAUCUCUAAGGGCCAAGCUACCUGUUUGGAUUAACAGAAAAGGAAAAUACAGGGAGAGUCCAUCCAAAAUGAGUAUCAUAGUUAAUGAUCCUGUCAUAUAGUCUGAAGCAGGGAGGGAGGAGAAAAAUGGUGGCAUCAUUGAAACUGAAAGACUCUGCCUUCACCAUUCAGAAGUUGGGCUGUCAGUCAACAGCUGACCUCAGGGAAUCAAGAAAACUGACUUUGCAGAGGAAGACCCUUUGGAUCUGGGUCCCAGAGCACUCAGCUGAAGAUCUGCAGAGUCUGUGAAAUAGACAGGUGGCUUGGCCCAUAAUUUGAGAAGCAAGGUAAGGAAGGGGAGGUCCAGUCUGGGGAGAGACCCUAUGGUGCAUAUGUGAUCAAGCAU
Molecule: long non-coding RNA, 534 nt
Filed under: Canis lupus familiaris (dog)
Lineage: Eukaryota; Metazoa; Chordata; Mammalia; Carnivora; Canidae
Description: lncRNA (ENSCAFG00845012679.1)
Source: RNAcentral